GGGAAUCUAAACCCUUCCCAGAGUAUCAAUUGGAGGGCAAGUCUGGUGCCAGCAGCCGCGGUAAUUCCAGCUCCAAUAGCGUAUAUUAAAGUUGUUGCAGUUAAGAAGCUCGUAGUUGAAUUUCUGCCUUAUCAUUAAUUUCGCUUCCGAACGUAAUUUUAUUGAUUUGGCAUCUUCUGGAUUAUAUAUUAUUUUUAAUAUAUUUUUCCAGUAUUUUACUUUGAGAAAACUAGAGUGUUUCAAACAGGCUUUUGCCUUGAAUACUACAGCAUGGAAUAAUGAAGUAGGACUAUUGGUUCUAUUUUGUUGGUUAUCGAACCAUAGUAAUGGUUAAUAGGAGCAGUUGGGGGCAUUCGUAUUUAACUGUCAGAGGUGAAAUUCUUAGAUUUGUUAAAGACGAACUACUGCGAAAGCAUUUGCCAAGGAUGUUUUCAUUAAUCA
RNAcentral lists this ribosomal RNA (441 nucleotides) under Babesia cf. microti. RNAcentral's name for it is "SSU rRNA". It matches the Rfam family "Eukaryotic small subunit ribosomal RNA", at positions 519 to 979 of the family's 1831-position model. Lineage: Eukaryota; Apicomplexa; Aconoidasida; Piroplasmida; Babesiidae. The record is from RNAcentral.